RNAcentral lists this unclassified non-coding RNA (253 nucleotides) under uncultured Solirubrobacterales bacterium. RNAcentral describes it as "contains 16S-23S intergenic spacer region". It matches the Rfam family "Bacterial small subunit ribosomal RNA", at positions 524 to 776 of the family's 1533-position model. The record is from RNAcentral. Lineage: Bacteria; Bacillati; Actinomycetota; Thermoleophilia; Solirubrobacterales.
UACGUAGGGUGCAAGCGUUGUCCGGAAUCAUUGGGCGUAAAGAGCGUGUAGGCGGCUCGGUAAGUCCGCUGUAAAAGUCCAGGGCUCAACCCUGGGAUGCCGGUGGAAACUGUCGGGCUAGAGUCCGGGAGAGGCGAGUGGAAUUCCUGGUGUAGCGGUGAAAUGCGCAGAUAUCAGGAGGAACACCAAUGGCGAAGGCAGCUCGCUGGAACGGUACUGACGCUGAGACGCGAAAGCGUGGGGAGCAAACAGG